This 586-nucleotide ribosomal RNA is filed under the name uncultured bacterium. Its description in RNAcentral is "partial 16S ribosomal RNA". It matches the Rfam family "Bacterial small subunit ribosomal RNA", at positions 355 to 1375 of the family's 1533-position model. The record is from RNAcentral.
UGGGGAAUUUUGGACAAUGGGCGAAAGCCUGAUCCAGCAAUGCCGCGUGUGUGAAGAAGGCCUUCGGGUUGUAAAGCACUUUUGUCCGGAAAGAAAUCCUUGGCUCUAAUACAGUCGGGGGAUGACGGUACCGGAAGAAUAAGCACCGGCUAACUACGUGCCAGCAGCCGCGGUAAUACGUAGGGUGCAAGCGUUAAUCGGAAUUACUGGGCGUAAAGCGUGCGCAGGCGGUUUGCUAAGACCGAUGUGAAAUCCCCGGGCUCAACCUGGGAACUGCAUUGGUGACUGGCAGGCUAGAGUAUGGCAGAGGGGGGUAGAAUUCCACGUGUAGCAGUGAAAUGCGUAGAGAUGUGGAGGAAUACCGAUGGCGAAGGCAGCCCCCUGGGCCAAAUACUGACGCUCAUGCGCGAAAGCGUGGGGAGCAAACAGGAUUAGAUACCCUGGUAGUCCACGCCCUAAACGAUGUCAACUAGUUGUUGGGGAUUCAUUUCCUUAGUAACGUAGCUAACGCGUGAAGUUGACCGCCUGGGGAGUACGGUCGCAAGAUUAAAACUUAAAUGAAUUGACGGGGUCAUAGCUGUUUCCU